AGUGAACGCUGGCGGUAGGCCUAACACAUGCAAGUCGAACGGCAGCACAGGAGAGCUUGCUCUCUGGGUGGCGAGUGGCGGACGGGUGAGGAAUACAUCGGAAUCUACUCUGUCGUGGGGGAUAACGUAGGGAAACUUACGCUAAUACCGCAUACGACCUACGGGUGAAAGCAGGGGACCUUCGGGCCUUGCGCGAUUGAAUGAGCCGAUGCCGGAUUAGCUAGUUGGCGGGGUAAAGGCCCACCAAGGCGACGAUCCGUAGCUGGUCUGAGAGGAUGAUCAGCCACACUGGAACUGAGACACGGUCCAGACUCCUACGGGAGGCAGCAGUGGGGAAUAUUGGAUAAUGGGCGCAAGCCUGAUCCAGCCAUACCGCGUGGGUGAAGAAGGCCUUCGGGUUGUAAAGCCCUUUUGUUGGGAAAGAAAUCCAGCUGGCUAAUACCCGGUUGGGAUGACGGUACCCAAAGAAUAAGCACCGGCUAACUUCGUGCCAGCAGCCGCCGUAA
Molecule: ribosomal RNA, 506 nt
Filed under: uncultured bacterium
Lineage: Bacteria
Description: partial 16S ribosomal RNA
Rfam family: Bacterial small subunit ribosomal RNA
Source: RNAcentral